Molecule: long non-coding RNA, 252 nt
Organism: Puntigrus tetrazona (Sumatra barb)
Lineage: Eukaryota; Metazoa; Chordata; Actinopteri; Cypriniformes; Cyprinidae
Exons: 3
Source: RefSeq, a predicted model, not a curated record
CGGUCUGGUGAAUUUUGAGAAGUUAAGGAUGAUUGCGAGAGAGAUCAGACACGUGGUUGAAUGGCUUCCAUCACCAUGGACCCUGCAUUGCUUUUUAAGACAAGGAAGAAAAAGUGGAGAAGUCUUGGGUCUCUAAGUCAGGUGAGCAGCUCUUCUCUCUCUGACAUUGGAACAAUGGGUGGAAAAAGAAAAGGGAGGCGGAGCUCUUUUCUCAGUGCUAAGAAACUUUAUGAGGUGGAGAUGAUGAGCAGG